Molecule: long non-coding RNA, 1347 nt
Filed under: Equus caballus (horse)
Lineage: Eukaryota; Metazoa; Chordata; Mammalia; Perissodactyla; Equidae
Description: lncRNA (ENSECAG00000050064.1)
Source: RNAcentral
CCAGAGAGGCAUAUGGCAUGAAACAGAGACAAAGGAGAAGGGUGGGACCUGGAUGAGGCAGGCAGAGACUGGAGGGUGGUGCGGCCCCAAGGACACAGAAGGUGAAGGAAAGAGCAAAAGGUGGAGGAAGCUAUAAACCAUGGAGGCAAGAAUCUCAAAGUUCCCCUUUCAGUCCUAAGAAGAAGCUGGAGGAACUGUCAACAACAGAAGAUUUUAAUGACAAAUACUCAAAGAGAAACGUGUAUGCCAACGUUCAUUACAGCAUUAUUCGCAAUAGCCAAAAGGUGGAAACAGCCCAAGUGCCCACUGAUGGAUGGAUAAAAAAAUAUGAUGUAUAAACAUACAACAGAAUGUUAUUCAGCCUUAAAAAGGAAGGAAAUUCUGACACACGCUACAACAUGGAGGAUCCUGGAGGACAUUAUGCUAAGUGAAAUGAGCCAGUCACAAAAAAACAAAUACGAUGAGAAGCAUGAAGCUCAGAGACUAAGUGGGAGGCCCAACAGACCAAGGGACAGCCCAGGCAGUGUCACUCCAGAAACAGAGUGCUUAGUCUCUGCUUAUAUGACCCUCUUGUUUUUUUGUUUUUUUUAGGAAGAUUAGCCCUGAGCUAACAUCUGCUGCCAAUCUUCCUCUUUUUUGCUGAGGAAGACUGGCCCUGAGUUAACAUCCGUGCCCAUCUGCCUCUACUUUAUAUGUGGGACACCUACCACAGCAUGGCUUGCCAAGCGGUGCCACAUCCGCACCUGGGAUCUGAACCUGUGAACCCUGGGCCGCCCAAGUGGAACGUGCACACUUAACUGCUGCGCCACAGGGCUGGCCCCCCUCUUAUUCUUCAUUCUUGCCCAUCUUCACUCCCCAGUGGCCAGAACCACACCCAACAGCCCGGAAGCCCCCUGAAGGAUAGUUGGCUGCCAUGAAGAUCUUGGAUCCAUCUUUCCCUCAGGAUUCCCCUUGGCAGUUGAGAUAAAAAGUGCAUCUGAUUAAUUUAGGAAGCCUGUGGCAUUAAGCUAAAGUACGUGCUGAAAUCUUUACGGUCCAAACAAAAUGAUUUUAAGGAUUUGCUUCAAUGUGCAGUAGAGGGAGUGGAAGAGAGGAGAGAACGAUACAAACGUAUGUUCAAGCAAUCCAAAAAAAGGCAAGAUACAAGAGAGAAAAAAGUGUAUGAAUUAUAUCUCAAUAAAGGUUGCCACAAAUGAGAGCAUUUCCUCCUUUUUUAUGGCUACAUAAUAUUCCAUUGUGUGUAUAUUUAUCCAUUCACCCUUUAAUGGACACCCAGGUUGCUUCCAUGUCUUGGCUGUUAUGAAUAAUGCUGCGAUGAACACAGGGGUGCAGAUAUUUCUUUGAGAU